Non-coding RNA from Osmia lignaria (orchard mason bee), 1043 nucleotides. The record is from RefSeq and is a predicted model, not a curated record. Lineage: Eukaryota; Metazoa; Arthropoda; Insecta; Hymenoptera; Megachilidae.
GUUAAUAAUACUUAAGUAGCCACUCGUGCAUUAGGUUAGGUUAACCGAAUUCCGGUUGUUUUUACGCCUCGAGUAGACACGAAAUACUUCUUGAACUUGAAAUUGUUCCGUCACGUAGUAUAUAAACACGUUCUAAAUAUCAAGAGAUAACGAGGUUAUGUCGUCGUAGAUUUUCACGAGAUUUGUCUAUCGUUUGCGGUUGACGAUCUGCACAGCCUACGUGCUUGAUUCCACGUAUGUAUUGUUAAUUACCGAUGACACAAAACAUCCUCUGGAAUGCUUAUGAUACACGAAUUUCUCGGAUGUGUUUAUCACUUAGUAACUUUUUUUAAAUGCAAAAAUAGAAAUAGAACAUGUUUUAAAUAUCAUCGAAGCGUCAUAUAUCGCGCACUCUUGCGGUCAGUAAACAAGUCUACCUCGGUAACAGUGUGUACCGUACUCGUGACAGUUUCUUUUUCCCGAAUGUGACUUCUGUCGUGUGUACUUUUGCUCGAAGGGAAACGACGCGCCGGUAUGAAACAGCUAUGUGUUUCACGAAAUGUAAAUAUUUACGCCUCUAGCCCUUGGGUAUAUUACGACGAAAUUCUACAGAGGACGGUUGGGCUUCUUUUUGCGUCGCGAACUGUUAAAGGAAGUGUAUACGACGACAGGGAUCCAUGAAAAAUUGAUGGUGGUCGCGGUUUUGAAUUCAAAGCAUCGUUCCAUAGUCAUCUCUCGCCGUUAAAGACACGUCGAGCCAUUUGACGAGAUUUAUUUGGAAUCGAAGCACUAUUCUGGACUCCGAGGAGCGGCGAUGACGUCGCGACGAGUAUCCUGGCGGUUGGGACACCUGCGGUCGCCCCCUUUAAAAAUGAUUAACCUGCCGAAAAGGGAAACGUUCGCCAGCCCGGGCCCGUGCUGACGCCGAUGAAAAAUGGAUCUCGGCUGGCUUUCAGGAUGGCACAAAGACGUCGUUAACUCUUCCUACCGUCCGCUUACUCGAGCCUGAUUUUUAAUGAUUCUUCCCCUGUUCCCUCCUUGCGAACCUCGAGGGCACCCUUCCG